UACGUAGGGUGCGAGCGUUGUCCGGAAUUACUGGGCGUAAAGAGCUCGUAGGUGGUUUGUCGCGUUGUUCGUGAAGUCCCACGGCUUAACUGUGGGCGUGCGGGCGAUACGGGCAGACUGGAGUACUGCAGGGGAGACUGGAAUUCCUGGUGUAGCGGUGGAAUGCGCAGAUAUCAGGAGGAACACCGGUGGCGAAGGCGGGUCUCUGGGCAGUAACUGACGCUGAGGAGCGAAAGCGUGGGGAGCGAACAGG
RNAcentral lists this ribosomal RNA (253 nucleotides) under uncultured bacterium. Its description in RNAcentral is "partial 16S ribosomal RNA". It matches the Rfam family "Bacterial small subunit ribosomal RNA", at positions 524 to 776 of the family's 1533-position model. The record is from RNAcentral.